RNAcentral lists this ribosomal RNA (253 nucleotides) under uncultured bacterium. RNAcentral describes it as "partial 16S ribosomal RNA". It matches the Rfam family "Bacterial small subunit ribosomal RNA", at positions 524 to 776 of the family's 1533-position model. The record is from RNAcentral.
UACGUAGGUGGCAAGCGUUAUCCGGAAUUACUGGGCGUAAAGCGCACGCAGGCGGUCUUUUAAGUUUGACGUGAAAGCUCUCGGCUUAACUGGGAGAGGUCGUUGAAGACUGAGAGACUUGAGGAUAGGAGAGGGGUGCAGAAUUCCCGGUGUAGUGGUGGAAUGCGUAGAUAUCGGGAGGAAUACCAGUGGCGAAAGCGGCGCCCUAGCCUAAAACUGACGCUGAUGUGCGAAAGCGUGGGGAGCGAACGGG